UCAGCCGGUUGGCCAAUCUGGUUAAGGCGCCGUUCUGACAAGACGGAGACGAGGAGUUCGAAUCUCCUAGCUACAAUGCUGAU
Molecule: non-coding RNA, 83 nt
Organism: Extremus antarcticus
Lineage: Eukaryota; Fungi; Ascomycota; Dothideomycetes; Mycosphaerellales; Extremaceae
Source: the annotation of a GenBank genome assembly